AGGACGAACGCUGGCGGCGUGCUUAACACAUGCAAGUCGAGCGGUAAGGCCUUUCGGGGUACACGAGCGGCGAACGGGUGAGUAACACGUGGGUGAUCUGCCCUGCACUCUGGGAUAAGCCGUGGGAAACUGGGUCCUAAUACCGGAUAUGACCUGCUCUCG
RNAcentral lists this ribosomal RNA (162 nucleotides) under uncultured soil bacterium. RNAcentral's name for it is "partial 16S ribosomal RNA". It matches the Rfam family "Bacterial small subunit ribosomal RNA", at positions 26 to 188 of the family's 1533-position model. The record is from RNAcentral.